GGUCAUCUUUGAAUCUUCCUAAUUUGGGGUUAAAUUUGGUUUCCAUGAGGUUUUGAGGAGACCCUUUAUGAAUCUAGAAAUUGGGUUUUAUCAGAAUCGUGUUAAGAAAGAAUCUUGGAGGACAGUAUUGAUUUUGGCUUAUCAGAGCCUUGGAGUUGUCUAUGAAUUUUGUCUAAUAUAAUCUGAUGAGGGUGUGCACAUUUUUUUAUUAAAUGGGUAUAUUUGGAAUGUGGGGUGUGUGGAUUAAGAUAAAUACCUAAAAAUUAAAUUGCUAAGUGUGUGGAGUGAGAAAUGAUGUACACAGAGAUAAUGUGGUGUGCGAAAAUAAAAUUUCCCUAAUAAUUGUCUUUUAAAACACAACUUCUUGUUGGUAUUGUGACUUAAAUCCCCUCA
Camellia sinensis is the source of this 393-nucleotide non-coding RNA. The record is from RefSeq and is a predicted model, not a curated record. NCBI's taxonomy places the organism in Eukaryota, Viridiplantae, Streptophyta, Magnoliopsida, Ericales, Theaceae.